Molecule: ribosomal RNA, 274 nt
Filed under: uncultured bacterium
Lineage: Bacteria
Description: partial 16S ribosomal RNA
Rfam family: Bacterial small subunit ribosomal RNA
Source: RNAcentral
AUACGGAGGGGGUUAGCGUUGUUCGGAAUUACUGGGCGUAAAGCGUACGUAGGCGGACUGGAAAGUUGGGGGUGAAAUCCCGGGGCUCAACCCCGGAACUGCCUCCAAAACUUCCAAUCUAGAGAUCGAGAGAGGUGAGUGGAAUUCCAAGUGUAGAGGUGAAAUUCGUAGAUAUUAGGAGGAACACCAGUGGCGAAGGCGGCUCACUGGCUCGAUACUGACGCUGAGGUACGAAAGCGUGGGGAGCAAACAGGAUUAGAGACCCUAGUAGUCC